GAUGAACGCUAGCUACAGGCUUAACACAUGCAAGUCGAGGGGAAACGAUGAGAGAGCUUGCUCUCUUAGUCGUCGACCGGCGCACGGGUGAGUAACGCGUAUCCAACCUGCCUCUGACCAAGGGAUAACCCGUCGAAAGUCGGACUAAUACCUUAUGCAGUCGUCGGAAGUCAUCUGAUGACGACGAAAGAUUUCAUCGGUGAGAGAUGGGGAUGCGUCUGAUUAGCUUGUUGGCGGGGUAACGGUCCACCAAGGCGACGAUCAGUAGGGGUUCUGAGAGGAAGGUCCCCCACAUUGGAACUGAGACACGGUCCAAACUCCUACGGGAGGCUGCAGUGAGGAAUAUUGGUCAAUGGGCGUAAGCCUGAACCAGCCAAGUAGCGUGCAGGAUGACGGCCCUAUGGGUUGUAAACUGCUUUUAUGCGGGGAUAAAGUGAGGGACGUGUCCUUCAUUGCAGGUACCGCAUGAAUAAGGACCGGCUAAUUCCGUG
Molecule: ribosomal RNA, 491 nt
Filed under: uncultured bacterium
Lineage: Bacteria
Description: partial 16S ribosomal RNA
Rfam family: Bacterial small subunit ribosomal RNA
Source: RNAcentral